GGCAACCUGGCCGAGCGGUCUAAGGCGCCAGGUUAAGGUAUCACCUUGACAUAAUAUCCUGGUCUCUUCGGAGGCGAGAGUUCGAAUCUCUCGGUUGUCA
RNAcentral lists this transfer RNA (100 nucleotides) under Yarrowia lipolytica. Its description in RNAcentral is "tRNA-Leu". It matches the Rfam family "tRNA". From Rfam's summary of the family: Transfer RNA (tRNA) molecules are approximately 80 nucleotides in length. Their secondary structure includes four short double-helical elements and three loops (D, anti-codon, and T loops). The record is from RNAcentral. Lineage: Eukaryota; Fungi; Ascomycota; Dipodascomycetes; Dipodascales. RNAcentral also lists the same sequence under 1 other name.